CAGAAAGUGAAUAGCUUAUUCAAUUGACAGUGACAGAUUACUUCCCAAGCAAAGCCAGCCUUUGAAUGUCAAAGAAAUGAAACAAUGAUAUCCCCAUAUGCAUUGGAGUCACGUCUUUGUAGCAUGAAGCAUUGGGGACCAAAGCUCUGUUGUAAAUCAUUUUAUAUAAUCGGAUCCGUUUUAUUUUCUUCAAAAUCUUAAGCUAACAAGGGGUAAACCUGUGCUUUUUGCCAUUUUAUUUCAUUAAAGGUAGUUCUAUGGCAGACCCUCUCAUACCCCCUCAAUUGGAGUCUUGGAUUUAACUUAACAGCCCUUAAUUGACACGGAGGUAGGCUAUUUAAAGAGUGCAUGUGGAGGUGGAGGAAUUGACCGACAAAUCUAUGGAUAUAGCAACCUAUGGACUAAUUUAGUCUGUCAAACAGGUGUCGCCUCCUGCGCAGUGUGGACCACAGAGUGAACGAAUACCCAGCCCUGCACUAUCCUCAAGGGUGGCUACAGAGACUUCUCUCAUCAGGAGCACUGUGAGCCCCAGACCUACUGCCCCAUGCACCAAGAGGACCACAGAAAGGAGCUGCUGCGGUGCCGCACACACAGCGUAGCCUCCGCCUAGGAGCGCCGCAGACGCCACCACAUCCAAACUUUUGUCAAACUCUGAGGCAGUCGUGUCGAUGAUGGAGGCCAGGAGAAGAACAGACACUCAGAGGGACAGCUGAGUCCAAACAGUGACCUUAGAGAUUGUCCAUUUAAUUAUCCUACAGGAACCUACUUGACUAUGUGAUAACAAAUUGCCCUUUUGUUGGGCUUGCUAGCUUUCCAAAUGGAACCCUUUUUCACAUGCUGUCAUGUAAACUAUGCACUAUGUCGAUGUUCACUGAUGCCUUUGUCCAUUUUGUAGUAUAUUUUAAUUACAGUAGAGACCGCAGGUCGCCUUUUCAAAUUGCUUUAAUGUAAUUUCCACAUUGCAGAGCAGAAAGGGGUGGCAUUAUUUCCAGUGUCAAUCAUGGAUGUAUGUUUUUAUUAUUAAUGGGAAUCAUGACUUAAUUUGAGCUCUUCUGAAUACCAUUUUUUUAACCAGAGUGAAUGACCUUGGAGUUUAGGUUGAAUAGUUUUUAAUGUUUUGAUUACAUCAGGGACCUGCACAUUAAUUAAUG
Oncorhynchus tshawytscha (Chinook salmon) is the source of this 1151-nucleotide long non-coding RNA. NCBI's taxonomy places the organism in Eukaryota, Metazoa, Chordata, Actinopteri, Salmoniformes, Salmonidae. The record is from Ensembl.